Molecule: RNase P RNA, 352 nt
Filed under: Bacillota bacterium
Lineage: Bacteria; Bacillati; Bacillota
Also listed under: 1 other name
Description: Firmicutes bacterium (compost metagenome) RNase P RNA component class B
Rfam family: Bacterial RNase P class B
About the family: Ribonuclease P (RNase P) is a ubiquitous endoribonuclease, found in archaea, bacteria and eukarya as well as chloroplasts and mitochondria. Its best characterised activity is the generation of mature 5'-ends of tRNAs by cleaving the 5'-leader elements of precursor-tRNAs. Cellular RNase Ps are ribonucleoproteins.
Source: RNAcentral
UACGAUGGAUGGCCGCUGGUGAAAAACCGGGUGUGUCGCCCGGUUUUUUGCUAGAGGAAAGUCCGGACUCGGCUGCCCGCUGGCUGCCGGUCCCGGUGGCCGGCGGCAGAAAGUUGGCGCCCGCCGCAAGGCGGGGCGGAGCGAUCCGACGGAUGCGAACGGGGCCCUCGCCGGUCCCUAGUAGCUAUAAAAGGGCCAUAGAGACGAGUCCCGCCGGCGACGGCGGGAGUGGAACGUGGUAACCCCCGCCACCGAGCAACCCAAAUUAUGGUAGGGGCAGUCCCGCAAGGGACCAUCCGGCUGCGGCCGGGUGAGAUAGAUGGCCAUCCUCGACAGAAUCCGGCUUACAGUC